CUUCACCGAGCCCAGCCACAGCGGCCGGUCGUCGGCGCGUUCCUUGCCGUACGUGGCGAGGAGCGCCUGCGCCUC
RNAcentral lists this antisense RNA (75 nucleotides) under Streptomyces mobaraensis. Its description in RNAcentral is "ASpks TB sRNA". It matches the Rfam family "ASpks TB sRNA". The record is from Rfam by way of RNAcentral. Lineage: Bacteria; Bacillati; Actinomycetota; Actinomycetes; Kitasatosporales; Streptomycetaceae.